This 1037-nucleotide long non-coding RNA is filed under the name Junco hyemalis (dark-eyed junco). RNAcentral describes it as "lncRNA (ENSJHYG00000003440.1)". Lineage: Eukaryota; Metazoa; Chordata; Aves; Passeriformes; Passerellidae. The record is from RNAcentral.
ACAAUCCACCGCACCUGCAAGCAGUGAGUGUGCUCUGUGCGUGCAGGGACAGCCAGGCUGAGGGUGUCCAGCCCAGCACAGCCCUGGGAGCAGCAGUGCAGCCCCACACACACGGCAGGGCACACCAAACCCGCUCCUGGCUCUGGCAGGGCUGCACAAGCCUUCCUGCAGACCUGCCUGAAACUGAGGCCUGGGGCGCGGCUGACGUUUUUGGAAAGAGUUCAGGAAUUCUGAAGGAUAGAACCUCAAAACAGAGGGCAAAAGCCUGACUUUGGAAAUGAAUACACCCUGGAAGCACGAGUGCCUGAAGCCCAGCCAGACAGAGCCAGCUGACAUCUGAAGAGCUCUGGAGCUGGCAGAUGCUCUCUCUCAGAGCUGGCUGCGUCCAGCACCCAUCCAAAGGUGCAAUCCCAUCACCUCCCCCUGGAGCUCCCCACGGCCAGCUGGGCAACAAGGAAAGACAGAUUCCCAGUUUUCCAUCGAGCCCAGCACAGAGGAGGGGAUGGGUGUUUUCCUGCCUGAGUGAGGAAUGCAGACCCCUGUGCCCCCCAGGACAAUGUUUCCCUUGUUCCCCUUCCCAAGGGGGUGGCUGGAAGAUGCUCCGGCCCCAAGGAGAUCAAAGAGCUGCCAGGACAGGCUGGUCAAGCAUUUCCCUUUCAUCUGAAUAUAUUGUUUGUGAUUCUGAGCCAUUCCCAAAGGUGAAGAAGGCUUCUAAUCAUUGCAGGAAGAGCCCUUGGAGAUGACAGCAAGAGAAAAAAAGAAAAUUAAGGAUUGCUUACAAGCACCAGGGAGCAGCAGGUUACAUAUUUGGAGCAAACUGCAUUUGUUGAUUUUACUUAAACAGGUUUCUAACAAAGAGAAAUUAGAAAUUCAGGCAGCAUAAAGGAAACAAUCACUUAACACUGGUACCUUAUAAUGGAACAGGGGCUGCUUUAUUGCCAGGAUAUCUAUUAUAUUGUAAGGUGUGCAUUUUGUAAUGUUUUGCAUUUCUAAGAAUUAACACUGCACUACAAUAAAAAGAACUUAAAUUAUUUUCA